AGUGAACGCUGGCGGUAGGCCUAACACAUGCAAGUCGAACGGCAGCACAGUAAGAGCUUGCUCUUACGGGUGGCGAGUGGCGGACGGGUGAGGAAUACAUCGGAAUCUACUUUUUCGUGGGGGAUAACGUAGGGAAACUUACGCUAAUACCGCAUACGACCUACGGGUGAAAGCAGGGGAUCUUCGGACCUUGCGCGAUUGAAUGAGCCGAUGUCGGAUUAGCUAGUUGGCGGGGUAAAGGCCCACCAAGGCGACGAUCCGUAGCUGGUCUGAGAGGAUGAUCAGCCACACUGGAACUGAGACACGGUCCAGACUCCUACGGGAGGCAGCAGUGGGGAAUAUUGGACAAUGGGCGCAAGCCUGAUCCAGCCAUACCGCGUGGGUGAAGAAGGCCUUCGGGUUGUAAAGCCCUUUUGUUGGGAAAGAAAAGCAGCAGGUUAAUACCCCGCCGUUCUGACGGUACCCAAAGAAUAAGCGCCGGCUAACUUCGUG
Molecule: ribosomal RNA, 492 nt
Filed under: uncultured bacterium
Lineage: Bacteria
Description: partial 16S ribosomal RNA
Rfam family: Bacterial small subunit ribosomal RNA
Source: RNAcentral